AUUUACAGGCUUAACACAUGCAAGUCGAGGGGCAGCAUGGUCUUAGCUUGCUAAGGCCGAUGGCGACCGGCGCACGGGUGAGUAACACGUAUCCAACCUGCCGUCUACUCUUGGACAGCCUUCUGAAUGGAAGAUUAAUACAAGAUGGCAUCAUGAGUCCGCAUGUUCACAUGAUUAAAGGUAUUCCGGUAGACGAUGGGGAUGCGUUCCAUUAGAUAGUAGGCGGGGUAACGGCCCACCUAGUCUUCGAUGGAUAGGGGUUCUGAGAGGAAGGUCCCCCACAUUGGAACUGAGACACGGUCCAAACUCCUACGGGAGGCAGCAGUGAGGAAUAUUGGUCAAUGGGCGAGAGCCUGAACCAGCCAAGUAGCGUGAAGGAUGACUGCCCUAUGGGUUGUAAACUUCUUUUAUAAAGGAAUAAAGUCGGGUAUGGAUACCCGUUUGCAUGUACUUUAUGAAUAAGGAUCGGCUAACUCCGUGCCAGCAGCCGCGGUAAUACGGAGGAUCCGAGCGUUAUCCGGAUUUAUUGGGUUUAAAGGGAGCGUAGAUGGAUGUUUAAGUCAGUUGUGAAAGUUUGCGGCUCAACCGUAAAAUUGCAGUUGAUACUGGAUAUCUUGAGUGCAGUUGAGGCAGGCGGAAUUCGUGGUGUAGCGGUGAAAUGCUUAGAUAUCACGAAGAACUCCGAUUGCGAAGGCAGCCUGCUAAGCUGCAACUGACAUUGAGGCUCGAAAGUGUGGGUAUCAAACAGGAUUAGAUACCCUGGUAGUCCACACGGUAAACGAUGAAUACUCGCUGUUUGCGAUAUACUGCAAGCGGCCAAGCGAAAGCGUUAAGUAUUCCACCUGGGGAGUACGCCGGCAACGGUGAAACUCAAAGGAAUUGACGGGGGCCCGCACAAGCGGAGGAACAUGUGGUUUAAUUCGAUGAUACGCGAGGAACCUUACCCGGGCUUAAAUUGCAGAUGAAUUACGGUGAAAGCCGUAAGCCGCAAGGCAUCUGUGAAGGUGCUGCAUGGUUGUCGUCAGCUCGUGCCGUGAGGUGUCGGCUUAAGUGCCAUAACGAGCGCAACCCUUGUUGUCAGUUACUAACAGGUUCCGCUGAGGACUCUGACAAGACUGCCAUCGUAAGAUGUGAGGAAGGUGGGGAUGACGUCAAAUCAGCACGGCCCUUACGUCCGGGGCUACACACGUGUUACAAUGGGGGGUACAGAGGGCCGCUACCACGCGAGUGGAUGCCAAUCCCCAAAACCUCUCUCAGUUCGGACUGGAGUCUGCAACCCGACUCCACGAAGCUGGAUUCGCUAGUAAUCGCGCAUCAGCCACGGCGCGGUGAAUACGUUCCCGGGCCUUGUACACACCGCCCGUCAAGCCAUGGGAGCCGGGGGUACCUGAAGUGCGUAACCGCGAGGAGCGCCCUAGGGUAAAACUGGUGACUGGGGC
Molecule: ribosomal RNA, 1439 nt
Filed under: uncultured organism
Description: SSU rRNA
Rfam family: Bacterial small subunit ribosomal RNA
Source: RNAcentral